AAAUAUUAGUUUAAUAAGAAUGUUGAUUUGUGGAAUCAAAGGUAUAUGAUAAUUAGUAUAUUGGGCU
Molecule: transfer RNA, 67 nt
Filed under: Gryllus veletis
Lineage: Eukaryota; Metazoa; Arthropoda; Insecta; Orthoptera; Gryllidae
Description: tRNA-His
Source: RNAcentral